Molecule: long non-coding RNA, 219 nt
Filed under: Olea europaea (common olive)
Lineage: Eukaryota; Viridiplantae; Streptophyta; Magnoliopsida; Lamiales; Oleaceae
Description: long non-coding RNA (OEUR_LNC014941)
Source: RNAcentral
AUAUUUUCAUUUUUAUCUUCAGGCAGAUCAUCUUGUUUCCUACUUAAAAUAUUUGCAUCAUUCCCAUUAUUCACAAAAAACAUGAGGUUGUACUUCAGAACCAUGCACGCGAUUUUUUGCAACCUUUCUAGCCACCUCAUCACCAGUAUUUUCAAAGGAUUCCAUAUUCUGCCCUUCAAAUUUCCUAACCUCUUUAUUCUCACUUAUUCUUUCUUGNNN